GCCCGAGUGGCGAAAUGGUAGACGCAGGGGAUUCAAAAUCCCCCGCCGCAAGGCGUGCCGGUUCGAGUCCGGCCUCGGGCACCA
Molecule: transfer RNA, 84 nt
Filed under: Paracoccaceae bacterium
Lineage: Bacteria; Pseudomonadati; Pseudomonadota; Alphaproteobacteria; Rhodobacterales; Paracoccaceae
Also listed under: 2 other names
Description: tRNA-Leu
Rfam family: tRNA
About the family: Transfer RNA (tRNA) molecules are approximately 80 nucleotides in length. Their secondary structure includes four short double-helical elements and three loops (D, anti-codon, and T loops). Further hydrogen bonds mediate the characteristic L-shaped molecular structure. tRNAs have two regions of fundamental functional importance: the anti-codon, which is responsible for specific mRNA codon recognition, and the 3' end, to which the tRNAs corresponding amino acid is attached (by aminoacyl-tRNA synthetases). tRNAs cope with the degeneracy of the genetic code in two manners: having more than one tRNA (with a specific anti-codon) for a particular amino acid; and 'wobble' base-pairing, i.e. permitting non-standard base-pairing at the 3rd anti-codon position.
Source: RNAcentral